GACGAACGCUGGCGGCGUGCUUAACACAUGCAAGUCGAACGGAAAGGCCCUGCUUGCAGGGUACUCGAGUGGCGAACGGGUGAGUAACACGUGGGUGAUCUGCCCUGCACUUCGGGAUAAGCCUGGGAAACUGGGUCUAAUACCGGAUAGGAGCCAUUUUUAGUGUGAUGGUUGGAAAGUUUUUUCGGUGUAGGAUGAGCUCGCGGCCUAUCAGCUUGUUGGUGGGGUAAUGGCCUACCAAGGCGGCGACGGGUAGCCGGCCUGAGAGGGUGGACGGCCACAUUGGGACUGAGAUACGGCCCAGACUCCUACGGGAGGCAGCAGUGGGGAAUAUUGCACAAUGGGCGCAAGCCUGAUGCAGCGACGCCGCGUGGGGGAUGACGGCCUUCGGGUUGUAAACUCCUUUCGCUAGGGACGAAGCUUGUGUGACGGUACCUAGAUAAGAAGCACCGGCUAACUACGUG
This 464-nucleotide ribosomal RNA is filed under the name uncultured bacterium. RNAcentral describes it as "partial 16S ribosomal RNA". It matches the Rfam family "Bacterial small subunit ribosomal RNA", at positions 28 to 507 of the family's 1533-position model. The record is from RNAcentral.